GGCGCAGUAAUAAUGCGAGCAAGCGCGCGCGCGAAACUCGCGAAAAACGCCCGCGAAAGUCGCGCGAAACCGCGGCGCCUACGAGGAUUUUUUAUUGGUUCCAUGUCGCCACCGUGCCGGCCCGUAAUUCACAAUGUAAUUGGCGGCGUCUAGCCCUCAACCGAGUUGAACUUUUGAGCUCUAGCCGUGGGUUAAACACAAGUUAAAUCAAUAAAGCAUAAAACAAACACGAAGAGGAGUAGACUCAACCGAAGUAGAGACUGAAGAGAAGAUUGGGACGCAAGUGGGUAGUGAGCCCAGACGGUCUCCUCGCUUAUUAGGCCCGCGUGCUGCAACGCAAACAUCAACAUGCCGAAGAAGACAACGGGGCGCGCGCGGCGCUCAUUCCGAGACGAUUAAACAAAAGAACGCCCAUGGGGCCGAAGGCUGGUUGCGAGCCGCAUGUGGUCCCAUCUAUCGAUGCACUGCGACGCCGGUCGAAUUCUUGAAUUCUUUCUGUUGCACUAACAACAAGACCAAGAGACCAAGACCAGUCUUCAACUCUUUUUUAAUUUUUUAUUUUUUAUUUUUAAGCUUAGUGUGUGUUUUUGAAAUGAUAAUCAAAUAUUGAACCGAUGAGAGAUGCUGGUAACUGUUUUGAUUAAUAAUAUCGAUAAUUAUAGACGUUGCAUGUUCCAUUCUUCAUUUUCAAAAUGAAAAGAGUUAUAAUUCAAUUGAUAAAUUUUUCUCCGCUACGCGAAAAAAUGCCGUCGAAAUGUUUUACAAGCAAGUUGAUGAGAACGUCAACUUUUUCACGUUGUAUGCAACCGGUCCCGUUCCUUUCUGUCUUUAUCACUAGCUGCAUACUGAGUUUUUUGUGCGCGAAAUUAAAAAAACAGCACGGCGAGUCAUCGCCACAAUGCAGAUGUCGCUGCGGUAUUCAUUUACAAACCAAACACACUCCGCGCUGUUUUUUUCUUUUCUUUUUGGAAUGCGGUGUGUGUGCAAAAGAUACAAAAAAGGUUAAAAGGACUUGUUUUAGUCGGAAUACCAUUUAAGUCGUUUACACUGCUCAUUGUGCGUAUUAUUUACCUUUUUAACUCUUUCUUUGCUAGUUGAAAAGUGGAAGAAACAAGUUGAAAUCUUUAA
Long non-coding RNA from Dalotia coriaria, 1128 nucleotides. RefSeq lists it as uncharacterized. Lineage: Eukaryota; Metazoa; Arthropoda; Insecta; Coleoptera; Staphylinidae. The record is from RefSeq and is a predicted model, not a curated record. The transcript is spliced from 3 exons.